RNAcentral lists this ribosomal RNA (371 nucleotides) under uncultured organism. RNAcentral's name for it is "bacterial SSU rRNA". It matches the Rfam family "Bacterial small subunit ribosomal RNA", at positions 526 to 896 of the family's 1533-position model. The record is from RNAcentral.
CGUAGGGUGCGAGCGUUAAUCGGAAUUACUGGGCGUAAAGUGUGCGCAGGUGGCUGAGCAAGUCGAGUGUGAAAUCCCCGGGCUUAACUUGGGAAUUGCGCUCGAAACUACUUGGCUCGAGUGUGGCAGAGGAAGGUGGAAUUCCAGGUGUAGCGGUGAAAUGCGUAGAGAUCUGGAGGAACACCGAUGGCGAAGGCAGCCUUCUGGGCCAACACUGACGCUCAUGCACGAAAGCGUGGGAGCAAACAGGAUUAGAUACCCUGGUAGUCCACGCCCUAAACGAUGAUGACUAGUUGUUGGGGGAGUUAAAUCCCUUAGUAACGCAGCUAACGCGUGAAGUCAUCCGCCUGGGGAGUACGGUCGCAAGAUUA